UCUGAAAUAUUGAAUUAUUUUAACAUUCCGAUAAAGGUAUGCAUCUACCGCUAAGAGCUCUAACAUUAGGGCGAUCACAGAAGCACUGCGGAAUAUCACAAGCACUUGGGCGAUUCAAUUUGUGAACUGUCGGGUUGCUGCACGUGGGUUCUGC
Molecule: long non-coding RNA, 154 nt
Organism: Maniola jurtina (meadow brown)
Lineage: Eukaryota; Metazoa; Arthropoda; Insecta; Lepidoptera; Nymphalidae
Exons: 3
Source: RefSeq, a predicted model, not a curated record